CCUAAACACACCCAAUCUCAGCUAAUCUUGGAAGCUAAGCAGG
This 43-nucleotide ribosomal RNA is filed under the name Rhinopithecus roxellana (golden snub-nosed monkey). Lineage: Eukaryota; Metazoa; Chordata; Mammalia; Primates; Cercopithecidae. The record is from RNAcentral.